GAUCAUGGCUCAGGAUGAACGCUGGCGGCGUGCCUAACACAUGCAAGUCGAACGGUAACAGGAAGAAGCUUGCUUCUUGCUGACGAGUGGCGGACGGGUGAGUAAUGUCUGGGAAACUGCCUGAUGGAAGGGGAUAACUACUGGAAACGGUAGCUAAUACCGCAUAACGUCACAAGACCAAAAAGGGGGACCUUCGGGCCUCUUGCCAUCGGAUGUGCCCAGAUGGGAUUAGCUAGUAGGUGGGGUAACGGCUCACCUAGGCGACGAUCCCUAGCUGGUCUGAGAGGAUGACCAGCCACACUGGAACUGAGACACGGUCCAGACUCCUACGGGAGGCAGCAGUGGGGAAUAUUGCACAAUGGGCGCAAGCCUGAUGCAGCCAUGCCGCGUGUAUGAAGAAGGCCUUCGGGUUGUAAAGUACUUUCAGCGGGGAGGAAGGGAGUAAAGUUAAUACCUUUGCUCAUUGACGUUACCCGCAGAAGAAGCACCGGCUAACUCCGUG
RNAcentral lists this ribosomal RNA (502 nucleotides) under uncultured bacterium. RNAcentral describes it as "bacterial SSU rRNA". It matches the Rfam family "Bacterial small subunit ribosomal RNA", at positions 15 to 507 of the family's 1533-position model. The record is from RNAcentral.